CGGAGAAUGUUAUCACGGGAGACACACGGCGGGUGCUAACGUCCGUCGUGAAGAGGGAAACAACCCAGACCGCCAGCUAAGGUCCCAAAGUCAUGGUUAAGUGGGAAACGAUGUGGGAAGGCCCAGACAGCCAGGAUGUUGGCUUAGAAGCAGCCAUCAUUUAAAGAAAGCGUAAUAGCUCACUGGUCGAGUCGGCCUGCGCGGAAGAUGUAACGGGGCUAAACCAUGCACCGAAGCUGCGGCAGCGACGCUUAUGCGUUGUUGGGUAGGGGAGCGUUCUGUAAGCCUGCGAAGGUGUGCUGUGAGGCAUGCUGGAGGUAUCAGAAGUGCGAAUGCUGACAUAAGUAACGAUAAAGCGGGUGAAAAGCCCGCUCGCCGGAAGACCAAGGGUUCCUGUCCAACGUUAAUCGGGGCAGGGUGAGUCGACCCCUAAGGCGAGGCCGAAAGGCGUAGUCGAUGGGAAACAGGUUAAUAUUCCUGUACUUGGUGUUACUGCGAAGGGGGGACGGAGAAGGCUAUGUUGGCCGGGCGACGGUUGUCCCGGUUUAAGCGUGUAGGCUGGUUUUCCAGGCAAAUCCGGAAAAUCAAGGCUGAGGCGUGAUGACGAGGCACUACGGUGCUGAAGCAACAAAUGCCCUGCUUCCAGGAAAAGCCUCUAAGCAUCAGGUAACAUCAAAUCGUACCCCAAACCGACACAGGUGGUCAGGUAGAGAAUACCAAGGCGCUUGAGAGAACUCGGGUGAAGGAACUAGGCAAAAUGGUGCCGUAACUUCGGGAGAAGGCACGCUGAUAUGUAGGUGAAGUCCCUUGCGGAUGGAGCUGAAAUCAGUCGAAGAUACCAGCUGGCUGCAACUGUUUAUUAAAAACACAGCACUGUGCAAACACGAAAGUGGACGUAUACGGUGUGACGCCUGCCCGGUGCCGGAAGGUUAAUUGAUGGGGUCAGCGCAAGCGAAGCUCUUGAUCGAAGCCCCGGUAAACGGCGGCCGUAACUAUAACGGUCCUAAGGUAGCGAAAUUCCUUGUCGGGUAAGUUCCGACCUGCACGAAUGGCGUAAUGAUGGCCAGGCUGUCUCCACCCGAGACUCAGUGAAAUUGAACUCGCUGUGAAGAUGCAGUGUACCCGCGGCAAGACGGAAAGACCCCGUGAACCUUUACUAUAGCUUGACACUGAACAUUGAGCCUUGAUGUGUAGGAUAGGUGGGAGGCUUUGAAGUGUGGACGCCAGUCUGCAUGGAGCCGGCCUUGAAAUACCACCCUUUAAUGUUUGAUGUUCUAACGUGGACCCGUGAUCCGGGUUGCGGACAGUGUCUGGUGGGUAGUUUGACUGGGGCGGUCUCCUCCUAAAGAGUAACGGAGGAGCACGAAGGUUGGCUAAUCCUGGUCGGACAUCAGGAGGUUAGUGCAAUGGCAUAAGCCAGCUUGACUGCGAGCGUGACGGCGCGAGCAGGUGCGAAAGCAGGUCAUAGUGAUCCGGUGGUUCUGAAUGGAAGGGCCAUCGCUCAACGGAUAAAAGGUACUCCGGGGAUAACAGGCUGAUACCGCCCAAGAGUUCAUAUCGACGGCGGUGUUUGGCACCUCGAUGUCGGCUCAUCACAUCCUGGGGCUGAAGUAGGUCCCAAGGGUAUGGCUGUUCGCCAUUUAAAGUGGUACGCGAGCUGGGUUUAGAACGUCGUGAGACAGUUCGGUCCCUAUCUGCCGUGGGCGCUGGAGAACUGAGGGGGGCUGCUCCUAGUACGAGAGGACCGGAGUGGACGCAUCACUGGUGUUCGGGUUGUCAUGCCAAUGGCACUGCCCGGUAGCUAAAUGCGGAAGAGAUAAGUGCUGAAAGCAUCUAAGCACGAAACUUGCCCCGAGAUGAGUUCUCCCUGACCCUUUAAGGGUCCUGAAGGAACGUUGAAGACGACGACGUUGAUAGGCCGGGUGUGUAAGCGCAGCGAUGCGUUGAGCUAACCGGUACUAAUGAACCGUGAGG
RNAcentral lists this ribosomal RNA (1974 nucleotides) under Shigella sonnei. RNAcentral describes it as "partial 23S ribosomal RNA". It matches the Rfam family "Bacterial large subunit ribosomal RNA", at positions 963 to 2915 of the family's 2925-position model. The record is from RNAcentral. Lineage: Bacteria; Pseudomonadati; Pseudomonadota; Gammaproteobacteria; Enterobacterales; Enterobacteriaceae.